GAGGCAAACUCUGCUAAUACACGCGUCUGCGCGAGACUAACGGCCUGACGCUCCCGGGCUCCGGUCCAGAUCGCUACUUCAACAUCGGAAAUAUGGAAAUGUGGCUCGGGCAGGACUCACGGAGUAAUCCAAUCCAUCCACAGCGACUCUCUCCGCCCCCUUCCCUUGUGUCCGACUUUGAGGAACUUCACACUGGGAAGCCGUUUUCGCCAAACGCGCGCCCUGAAUUAGUCGCGUCCAAACUUUUAUUUGUCGAAGAACAUAAACGGGAUGCGGUGGCACACACCGCCAGAACACCCCUUUUAGCCGCAGCAGUGUCGAAAACUUAUUCCAUUCGGGAAAAACCUGAUUACUCAAUGCGCAAAGCGCCUGAAGGCGAAUGGAGCUGAAGGGAUUUUUCUCGCUCCGCGCGGGACUGAUGCCUGAUCUCCAGUAAAAGAUGUGGAAAGAUGAAUACGAGGUGCAUUUCGACUUUCUUCUAGGACUUCUUAAGAGAACACACAAAGGAGGAUUUGUGUUUUUGGCUAACUGACAAGGCCAUGGCAACUCCUUCACACCUCGCUCUAUUCAUCCAACACACCCUCUCCGAAGGCAUCAGAACGGGCAGAGAGAGACGCUGGCAUAUUCUGCAAUAAUUUUGUAGUCGCGGAUGAAAUCAGGAAUCAUUUAUCACCUUGAACUACUGCUCACCACUGGAAUUACAGUAUGUACCCUGAGCAAUCCUGCUUGCUUAACUCCUCGCUCUGUGCCGUGUGAGAUUUGUCGGGGCUUUUCUAGGGCAUUGUGGGUAAUGCUGAUGGAGGGGCCAUCUGCUUGGGAGGGACACAAAUUACACCCUCUUUCUAUACGCCGGGAACACCAGGUUCUACUGGCACCAUGGCAACCAACACAUUACCGUUCCUUAUCGAGUUUGAAGCAAAUGCAAUUGUGCUAAUCAAAUUAUGCAAAAAAUUUGACUCAUCCACAAUGAAAAUGACAGCCAUAAUUUAUUCAGAAGGCUGUGGAUGCGCAUCAAGACUAAACUGUUGACCAGUAAGCAUAUUCCAUCUGUAUUCGCAGUGUGUUUCUCUUCAUGUCUCCUCAUAGAGUGAUGACAGCAUCCUUUUAAUUUGUCCUUUGCAAUUCAUUUGGCCAUGGCUGCAUUUAGUUAAUCAAAAAUACAGUAAAAACAGUAAUAUUCUGAAAUAAUCAAAACAUUUAGAAGAACAGUUUUCUGUGUUCAUAUAUUUUAAAAUGUAA
Molecule: long non-coding RNA, 1239 nt
Organism: Carassius auratus (goldfish)
Lineage: Eukaryota; Metazoa; Chordata; Actinopteri; Cypriniformes; Cyprinidae
Exons: 3
Source: RefSeq, a predicted model, not a curated record